GAUGAACGCUAGCGGCAGGCCUAACACAUGCAAGUCGAGGGGUAACAUAGGAAAGCUUGCUUUUCUGAUGACGACCGGCGCACGGGUGCGUAACGCGUAUACAACCUACCUUUUAGCGGGGAAUAGCCCAGGGAAACUUGGAUUAAUGCCCCAUAGUAUAUAGACUUCUCCUGAAGUUUAUAUUAAACAUUUAUGGCUAUUAGAUGGGUAUGCGUCCUAUUAGUUAGUUGGUAAGGUAACGGCUUACCAAGGCAGCGAUAGGUAGGGGUCCUGAGAGGGAGAUCCCCACACUGGUACUGAGACACGGACCAGACUCCUACGGGAGGCAGCAGUGAGGAAUAUUGGACAAUGGGCGAGAGCCUGAUCCAGCCAUGCCGCGUGCAGGAAGACUGCCCUAUGGGUUGUAAACUGCUUUUACAGAGGAAGAACCACCCCCACGUGUGGGGGUUUGACGGUACUCUGCGAAUAAGGAUCGGCUAACCCCGUG
This 487-nucleotide ribosomal RNA is filed under the name uncultured bacterium. Its description in RNAcentral is "bacterial SSU rRNA". It matches the Rfam family "Bacterial small subunit ribosomal RNA", at positions 28 to 507 of the family's 1533-position model. The record is from RNAcentral.